CUCAGGAUGANNNGCNGGCGGCGUGCCUAAUACAUGCAAGUCGAACGCUUUGUGGUUCAACUGAUUUGAAGAGCUUGCUCAGAUAUGACGAUGGACAUUGCAAAGAGUGGCGAACGGGUGAGUAACACGUGGGAAACCUACCUCUUAGCAGGGGAUAACAUUUGGAAACAGAUGCUAAUACCGUAUAACAAUAGCAACCGCAUGGUUGCUACUUAAAAGAUGGUUCUGCUAUCACUAAGAGAUGGUCCCGCGGUGCAUUAGUUAGUUGGUGAGGUAAUGGCUCACCAAGACGAUGAUGCAUAGCCGAGUUGAGAGACUGAUCGGCCACAAUGGGACUGAGACACGGCCCAUACUCCUACGGGAGGCAGCAGUAGGGAAUCUUCCACAAUGGGCGAAAGCCUGAUGGAGCAACGCCGCGUGUGUGAUGAAGGGUUUCGGCUCGUAAAACACUGUUGUAAGAGAAGAAUGACAUUGAGAGUAACNNNNAAUGUGNG
RNAcentral lists this ribosomal RNA (494 nucleotides) under Weissella cibaria. RNAcentral's name for it is "bacterial SSU rRNA". It matches the Rfam family "Bacterial small subunit ribosomal RNA", at positions 23 to 471 of the family's 1533-position model. Lineage: Bacteria; Bacillati; Bacillota; Bacilli; Lactobacillales; Lactobacillaceae. The record is from RNAcentral.